This is a long non-coding RNA of Serinus canaria (Common canary), 2041 nucleotides long. RefSeq lists it as uncharacterized. The record is from RefSeq and is a predicted model, not a curated record. Lineage: Eukaryota; Metazoa; Chordata; Aves; Passeriformes; Fringillidae. The transcript is spliced from 3 exons.
UAUCAAUAACUGUCCCAAAGGGAAUAUUCAAACUGAAUUUUGCUGCUGGAGGCACUCCUGUAUCUCCUGCUUUCCUCAUGCUGCUGAUGAGGUUGGGCUGUUCCUGCAGGUCAUGGACCUCCUCAGGAUCACCCUCAGGGGAUGCAGUGAAACACACAGGAAGGCACCACCCAGAAACCCUCACUCAGCAUCACUGACACACUCCAGAGCUUGGGUGGCUGCAGAUGAGAUGGGUGAAGUCAGACCCUGAAGGCUUCCCCUCCAUCCCACAGGAGCCACAGGAGGGAGCAGAUGCUGAUCCUUGCUGUGGUGGGUGAAGAAGAUCACUGAAAUCGUGCUGGCACAUUCCAGACUGCUGGGGAAGCCUCCACAUUCUGGAUCCAGUCCGUUCUGGCUCAUCUCCUGUGUUGUUUAGGUUUAGGUUGUGGUGCUUCCCAUGGCAGGAGAUGGCACAUGCGCCCUUCUCUUGCAGGCUUGCCUGACCAGGCUGGGAUAAGGAUUUUCUCCUUUACCUCUGGGUGCUGAGAGACAGCCACAGCUCUGGUAUGGUGAGAUGGUGAGGCACAACUACUUUAAGGAUUCCACUCUGACCUACAAAUAAUGCAGGACACUCCAGGCUGGAACUGCUACAAUUCAUAGGGCCAUGAGAUUAAAGAAUGCUUGAGAAGAAAACCCUGAAGUCCCAUAAACUUCAUACAUUUCUAUUUGUUGUACAAUAUUCUACAGUUUCUACAUAUAUAUUUCUCCAUAUCUACAUACAUAUGGUACAAGGGGGAAUGGCUUCACACUGACAGAGGAGAGAUUUACUAUUAGUAUUACGAGGAAAUUCUUCACUAGAAGAGUGGUUGAGCCCUGGCAAGGGUUGCCAGGAGAAGACGUGGCAGCCCCAUCCUGAAAGUGUCCAAGGCCAGGUCAAGUUGGUAUGUGAGAGGAGAAGAAAUGUGUGGCUGGACAUGUCCUCCCCAUGUCAGCAUUCAGCAAGCAUUGAGAACAGUCUGCAGCAGUCCACAGGCUGCAAAUUGCUCAUAAAAUCAUGUUUAAACUGUCCAGCCAGCAACACCUGGGCCAGAAGGCAGGAGGGCCUGUAAACCUUCUGAGAAGACUGUGCUGCGUGAGUUGGCCAUGCCUAAUUUUUCCCCUGAGACUGUUACUUUCUAUGCUUGUAGCUUUCAAAAGCUUCCCUGGAAAUCUCCAAGACCAGGUCAGAUGGGCUCUGUAACCUGGUCUAGCUGAAGAUAUCCUUGCUCAUUGCAAGGGGUGUGGUCCAAGUGGCCUUUAAGGGUCCCUUCCAACCCAAAGUACUUUAUGAUUUGACAAAGAGAUCUUCAAAUAAACCAGGGUGUGGAGCUCCCAUUCCAGACACAUCUGAAUCUUAGGCAGUUCCCUGUGAAUCUUCUAAAUCAUAAAAAUUAUACAGAUGUAAAUUAAACUGUCCUGAAGGCAUCUGGCAGAAUGCUAAUGGGGGAACUGUUCUCUUUGCUUGCUUGUCAGUGAUGGAGAUGGACUGAAAUUAACUGGUUUCAACCAGCUUCCAGACAGGGAGAGGGGACAAGUUCACUGGAACCUUUGGGAGCUCAGAGAAUGUGGUUCCUCCAUCCCCUCAGUGCUUUUCUGUGGAGCAGAGCUCCUGCUGACCUGUCAGACCAACACUCACCAUGGAAGAACAGACAUGACCCUGUAAAUAACCCUGCAGGAGUUGUUCAGUAGUGACCUCUGCUUUUUGCCCAUCUCCCUCUCUCUAGCUGGAGUAGGGCUGAAAUUUAUUGAAAACUGUCCUGGUUUCAGCCAGGACACUCCUGUUGUUCAAUACCACCUUGGGUCAUUGCCAGGAUGGAGCAAAGGAUUCUCUUGGGCUCCUGAGAAGAAGGAAAUGGCUUCCACUCAAAAAACGUGGGAGGGGGGAGGCCUUUGGCCCUUGUUCAUUGUCUCAGAGCCUGUGGUAAGCAUUUUGGUGCAUGAAUCACUCUCUCUUUUGUACACUUUUUAAAAAAAAUAUUGUUGCUGUUACUGUUUUUUUUCUUAUCUCAUUGCUGUUUCCAGU